UGGAAAUGAAGAUGGCAGGGGAGUCACGGGAGCAACACACAUGUGGUCGUGCUGCUAAGGAGUAGGAUGAAAAUAUUGAGAGAUGAAAUGGAGAUGGGAAUCCAGGAAGAAGACGGGCUGGGUGAGAAGAUAAGGUUGAAAACCAAUAGUUAUUCGUGGUUGCUGGGUUCGUUGUUUACAGUCGGCUGUAAGGAAUCAGUUUCCUGGGAAAAACCAAAAAAGUCAGCUUUACGGAGUUUCCUGGUAGCUAUCAUCUGAGAUUUGAAAACUCAGAUUUGAAACUUGUUUGACAGAAAUAAAAAUAAAAUAAAGUACGUGUGUUGCUAG
RNAcentral lists this long non-coding RNA (327 nucleotides) under Hordeum vulgare. RNAcentral describes it as "long non-coding RNA (HVUL_LNC012054)". The record is from RNAcentral. Lineage: Eukaryota; Viridiplantae; Streptophyta; Magnoliopsida; Poales; Poaceae.